RNAcentral lists this ribosomal RNA (445 nucleotides) under uncultured bacterium. RNAcentral's name for it is "bacterial SSU rRNA". It matches the Rfam family "Bacterial small subunit ribosomal RNA", at positions 354 to 796 of the family's 1533-position model. The record is from RNAcentral.
GUGAGGAAUAUUGCGCAAUGGAGGCAACUCUGACGCAGCCAUGCCGCGUGCAGGAAGAAGGCGCUACGCGUUGUAAACUGCUUUUAACCGGGAAGAAACCCCAGGACGUGUCCUGGGUUGACGGUACCGGAGGAAUAAGCACCGGCUAACUUCGUGCCAGCAGCCGCGGUAAUACGAAGGGUGCAAGCGUUAUCCGGAUUCAUUGGGUUUAAAGGGUGCGUAGGCGGAGCGUUAAGUCAGUGGUGAAAUCCUGCAGCUUAACUGUAGACUUGCCAUUGAUACUGGCGCUCUUGAGUGCGCUUGAAGUGGGCGGAAUGUGCCGUGUAGCGGUGAAAUGCUUAGAUAUGGCACAGAACACCAAUUGCGAAGGCAGCUCACUAAGGCGAUACUGACGCUGAGGCACGAAAGCGUGGGGAUCGAACAGGAUUAGAAACCCGGGUAGUCC